AUGAAGCCUCAACAAGAUAGUAAGACAUUGGGUCCCAAAAUUGACGCAUAUGGUCAAAUCAGUAAACACAAGAAAAAUCAAGCCUCAAACCUCACCUCACAUGAGCUCCUCCUCCUUGCAAAGGUACUCACCAGUGUUAGACUGGUGGAGCACCACCAGAGCAUUGGUGUCGGCCUUCCUAUAGUCCAGCGCAUGGACAGUGAGUUGGAAGGCGCCGCCGUGGUUGAACUUACCAAUGGGCAUCAUCGUCACCGAGGCACUUGGCGGCGGUGGGGCACGUGUCGUGGUCGUCCGGCGGGGGUAAGGAGGUACGCAGGAGAGGCUGGCGCCAGAGCAGUGCGUGGGGGGAGGAGGCCGACAGUGGGUGCGAGGGCCUGGUGA
Molecule: ribosomal RNA, 381 nt
Filed under: Triticum aestivum (bread wheat)
Lineage: Eukaryota; Viridiplantae; Streptophyta; Magnoliopsida; Poales; Poaceae
Description: partial small subunit ribosomal RNA
Source: RNAcentral